RNAcentral lists this ribosomal RNA (322 nucleotides) under uncultured eukaryote. RNAcentral describes it as "partial 18S ribosomal RNA". It matches the Rfam family "Eukaryotic small subunit ribosomal RNA", at positions 1470 to 1796 of the family's 1831-position model. The record is from RNAcentral.
CCCUUAGAUGUUCUGGGCCGCACGCGCGCUACACUGAUGCGUUCAACAAGUUUCCUUGGCUGAGAGGCCUGGGCAAUCUUCUUAAUAUGUAUCGUGAUAGGGAUAGAUUAUUGCAAUUAUUAAUCUUGAACGAGGAAUUCCUAGUAAACGCAGAUCAUCAAUCUGCAUUGAUUACGUCCCUGCCCUUUGUACACACCGCCCGUCGCACCUACCGAUUGGAUGUUCCGGUGAAGCCUCGGGAUGAGGACUGGUGCCUUUAUUGGCAUGAGUUGUUCAGAACUUGUCUAAACCUUAUCAUCUAGAGGAAGGUGAAGUCGUAACA